This 66-nucleotide transfer RNA is filed under the name Hiatella arctica. RNAcentral's name for it is "tRNA-Glu". Lineage: Eukaryota; Metazoa; Mollusca; Bivalvia; Adapedonta; Hiatellidae. The record is from RNAcentral.
UUUUUUGUAGUAUAUAUUAAGUACGUCGGUUUUUCACCCCGAAGGAGGAUUUAAAAUCUCACUUAA